CUGGGUAAAAGGACAAGCAGACCACGCGGUCUGGGUUCUGGUGGGGGAGUUCAGUGGAUUGUUGCAAGAUUCAGAGGCCAUGCUACCAAAAUAAAACUCUGGAUUACAAACUCUCCAUCAGGACCCGCUCCUUUCUUCACCUUGCCUCAAAGCUUUCUCCAGCUCAGGGAGGCCUGAGGAGUGAUCCCCUCAGCAGCAAGCUCCUCCCGCAAGCUCUGGAGCUCGGGGCAUGCCCGGACUUGUCUCCACAUGCCCAGUUUGACCACAGGUAAAUCCUGCUUCAGCUACAAAAAAGGCACAAAGCAAGGCUCAGAGCAUGAUCAGGCCUGGGUGGACAAGAAAUGAGGAGAGGAGUGAAGACUCAGACUCGCCUGCCAGUUAAUGCAGUGAUGCCCACAGUGUUUACUUGGACCACAGUCUUUCUAGGAUGCUGGUUUAUGUCUGUAUAUACCAAAAUGACAAGGUUGUUUACUGCACAAGAAGAUCACACUUCAAGGUCACACUGGCUUAAGGUGCACCACCAGCUUAGGCUGCAAGGGAAAGUUCAUGCAGGGAAACCUCGUGGCCUUCAUUUGGGAUGGACUGUUCUGCUCCUCAGCACCUGGCAUCACUUGGUGACCGCCCUGAAGUUGAACACAAAAGAAAUUGUUGGAUUUCAAAAGCAAAGAUCUGUCCUCUGCUUGCAGAAUGCAUCUUUCUAAAUGAAGAGUCACCAAAUGAGAAAGGGGUGGUUUAUGUACAAGUUACCCUCCAUCAAUUUUGAGCAAGUUAUAAGGAGUAGCAGCUUCCAUAAGGAACAGACCAGAAUCUGACAGCUUUCCACUACAGUUUAACGGAAAAGAAAUGUCCUGGUAUCUCUCAAGUAAAUGCUCUCAAUGAUACUCCUGCUGGCAAGCUGCUUUGUGCAACUUAGAAGGAAAUGGACAUAUUAGAUCUUCUUGGAAACAUCCUAUGCUAAGGAAACAAAACCUUCCUAAUGUAUCAAGCAGCAAAAUGAGCUCAAUACUUCUGUGGCAUUUUUGCCACUACAUCAGGAAAUGGUUGCUAUGGAGUGAAGGUUGCUGCUAAGGUGACUGUAAGAAUAAUGGUGCUAUUUGGAAAUGUAAAACUGGAUGAACACUAGGAAAGCCAGUGGUGUAAGAUGGUUGGCGUAGGGAAAACUCCAACAUCCUAUUGCUUUUUCCUGCAUUCCUCCUUCCAAUCUCAUCUCCCUUCUACAUCUGAAAGUCAAAGUCUGUGUGUUCAUUGGCAGAGAGGAGCAUAACUGAAUCUUCAGUUUCCUCUGAUUUUUAUGAGACAAGUUACAACCAACUGAAAGAAUCCUGCCUCAAUGGACCAAAAAUAACUUGUCAAGAUCAGAGCAAGUCAUCUGUCACAGGUUCCCUCUAAAAGCAACUGGAGAGAGGAAGAUCCUUUAGAAGUUAAUCCAAGGAAGAUUAUAUGUAAAUUCCUUAAUAGCAUUCUCCAACUGUGUUUCUAUAAUUUUGCUAAGGACUAUUCCAAACUUUGAACUGCGUAUUGAUGUUGGAGAUAUUCAAAAGACAUCUGGACAUGGUCCAUCAUCUCCUCUCCAGAAGGAUGGACCAGCUUGGCUUUUCACCUCUCUUAUUUAAGGCCGACAUAAGUCUAAUUUGAUGCAGAAAGUGGAGCCAUGAACAUCAGAAUAAUGUUGACUCCAGAUAUAUAGAAGCAAAGUUCCUCCAUUGGCUACAAGGAAAGCUGAAUCAAUGUCAGAACUUUCUUGUACUGUUUCUGCACUUUGGGGAGAUUCCAAAUCCCUGCUUUGGUCUUUCCUGUUUUUUUGACUGUCCACAAUCUGAUGUUGUAUAUAGUCAAAAAACCUCUGAUGCCCCUGAAAAUACAGAUACUACAGGACACAUCAAGACAAGAAGUACAGGGACAAAACAGAGGCAGCAUGGUUCAGUAGUGCUUUCUUAGCUCUGGCUUAGCACAAGACAUGUAAGUCACAAGCUGGCACUUGCAAAGCCAUGUAGGUGUUUCUGCACUGUGUUUCUGGCAGUCUCAGUGCUGGGGAGGCUGACCAGUUCCAGCUGUCAGUUCCAGAUCAGUUCUUACCACAGCACUUCUGCCCUUCCAAUGAGUUGAACUGAAUGUUGUGAAAAAAGCUUGAGAGGUUUUUUUUUUUUCUUUUAGAGACAGUGAAGAUUUACCUAGGCUUAUUAAAGGGAAACUGAUGUGUUCACAUUAUUUAUAUUGAUAUUUCUGUAGGUACUUUAUGUCUAUCCAAGAAUAUAACUCAAAAUUCAGUACAACAGGAAGGGCAACACAAAGCUGCUGUUAGGAUAUAUCAUUGUGAUGAGAUACAGGGAGGAGGAAAUUCUGUGAAGCAUUGUGGAAUUUUUGGUUGGCUUUUUUGAUUCCUAGCUGAAAACCAAACCAAAUCAGAAAAUAAAUAAACUCAAAACCAACUAAACACCCCUCCCCAAACUCACAAUAAAAAACACCAUAAAGUUUUUUCGCAGAAUAUUUUUUUAUUAUAGCAUCUUCCUAACUUUUCACGUAAGUUGAAUUUUGGUGUAAACUACAAUUGUAUAAUCUUUUGGCUAAUAUUUCUCAAAAAGAAGUCUUCAUAAACAAAUGAAAACAGACUUAAUAUCUCACCUGUAAAUUUUGGAACUGGUGAUAACUACUCACUGGCAACACAAAAUAUUUCAGGAUACCCUGUCAAGCACUUCAAAUUCUUGUCUUCCCUAUCUGACAUGGUAUGUGCCCUAUUUAAAUAGGAAUACACAAGUUUCUCAGACAAUGUGAAUUAACACAGAUCCAAGUAAGUCAAAGCUAGAUGAGAAUGCAAAUUAGCAGAGAUAACCUUAAUCUUAUUGAAGUUUUAAAUAGUUUAUUUAUAAUUUUUUAUCUACAUUCCUUGUGAAUUUUAUUUAUAACCAAAAUAGGAAACUGUCAAUGAAUCACACAGUACUCCAUCAGAUAAUCUCCUGUUUCUGUUAGUUAUUUAUUCAAGUGCUGUGGCAGACAUAGAAUCUGCCUGGGUUUUUUUGUCCCUUGCUUGUCUCAGCAUCUUUUUUUUCCUUGCCAUAUCUCUUCUCAUAUCUUAUAUCCUGUAUCCUGUGGUAUCUGAGGGGGAAAAACAGCCUUUUUUUUUCUUUUUUUUAGAGUGGGAACUAAGGAAAAUAUGUUGAUAAUGAUGCAGAGCUACAGCAAGUCUGAAGGAUGAGGGAGACACCAAUUGUGACAAAGAAAGAGGUCACUUUUUCUCUUGAAUGAUAAUCUUAAAUGAUACCCUGGUGAAACACUGUAGAGUAACUUGGUUAAGACCUGGUGGCUACUGAGCUGCUGUGUAAAUGGAAGGAGUUUAUAUUUGAGAAGCUUAUGGAAACAUCUCCAAGAACACAGAAAAUUGAGGAAAAGGGUACUCAUAAAAAGAUUAGCUGCUGAUAUAACACAUGUAGUAUAAAUGAUGAGUUUGCAGGUAAAAUAUAAAAAGAAAAAUAAUAAGUAGAGGAAGAAAAUAACAGCUAGUGUUGCAAAGGGGAAGAAAAGGAUGAUGUGAGACAGCUACAGCUGAAGAAACAGUUUGAAAAAUGAGACCAAGUUAGAUGAAAGAGGAAAGAGCAGCAGGAGUUUAUUUGAGGCUGAAUAAGAGCCAAAGGUGAACACAGUGGAAUCUGCUAUUCAUCCAUCAUUAUAGAUUUGACAGAUUCCUUCUAAAGUAUCAAGAAUAUGCCAAACUGUGAGGCCAAUGAAUUAUAAUAGUAAAGGGUUUCAAGUGUUAUUUUUCUUAUAUUCUUUCCACAUAAAAAAAAAAUCCAAAACAAAAAAUGUAGGUGGAAGGACUGAAUAAACCGUGAAAAUAGAUAGAUGAUUGCAAAGAUAAGAUAACAUUAUAUUUUCAAGAUACUCUACUAUAGACAGGUGUUCAGAAACACAACGCAGUGACUGGAUGGAGUCCACUUUAGACAAAAACCAAUUUUUAGUUUACUAUGACUGCAAAAUUCGGAAAAUUAAAGGGAAAAAAUUUGCCCUCACUAAGCAAUUGCCAUUCCUACUUCUAACAAACAAAGAAAAGGGGCAAAAGAAAUUCACAUGACAUGUUGCAAUAGAUAAAUGAUCAGGAGGGAGGCAUAUUUAAUAAUAACACAAUAUCAAAGUUUAACUUUGAUACUUAACAGUAUAACUGUUCAUGGAAGAGUUGAGCAUAGAUAGUUGAAUAUAGUCAAAAAGAAAUAAUUGUAAAGUUUAUAAAGUCCAAAGAGAGAAGAUCAAUAAACAGAAGGAAAAGGACUGCAUGUGCAAAAGAGGGUAUUACACACGUAUUUGAAACCUGGUGGACUAAUCACUAACAAUGGAAGUGGAUUACUAAAAUUUAAAAAUUCAAGAAGCAAUAUAAAAGUAUCCAAGGAGGAACAAGCAUUAAAGAGAUGAAAAAAUCCACAGGAAAAAAAAGCAAAGGAAAUAUACUAAUUGCAGAAUUUGUAUGGUCCAAAUUAUUUUUUUUAAAGGUAGACAAAUUAUAAAAGCUGUAGUAGGGUUUUUAAAAUUCUAUUACUCACAUUAUUGAACCAGUAAGAGAUGACUCUAUCAGAUUCAGUUUUGGUAGAAGUUAACUGAGAUGGGGUGGUUGAAGAUAACAUGGGUUUAGUCACAGUAAAGCAAUUAAUUUUUAAAUUCAAUGAAUGGAAAAAACAUGUGAUAUAAGGUCUUCAAAUUCAAAAGAUAAUUUGAGUGCUCAAGAAACUGCAAAUUACUUUAGGCUAAAGAAAUUGUAUAGAAUAAAAAAAAUUUAUAUGCCUGGCAAUCUUAAUAAAGGUGCAUUAUACUGCCUGUAGUGAGUUUUAAUUUUAAAAUAAUGUUUUAUUCAAGUAUUAUUUUUAUUCCUUUUAACCUCGAAAUAAGCAUUUCAGAUCUUAUCUGAGUCUGUACUGAAAAUUCAUUAUAUGACUCAACACUUUCUUCACUUAGUACAUUCUUGGUAGUUAGCUAUUGUCAGUAUAACUUCAGACUUCUUCUAAUUAUUUAGAAAAGCAUGCAGUUGUUAUAAAUGCUAACUACAUAUAAUUUCUCACUAUUCUUAAGUGGGACCAAUUUCUAUGACAUUUCAGGAUAAUCAUACCUUAAGCCUUUUUGAGGUAAACUUGAAUUUUAGUUAAGGACUCAAAACCAUGGACUUUCCAAUACACAGACUGAGAGCUUUAGAUUUAAUGCACUUAUUUGAUGCUGAAAGGUGUGAGAGGGUCAGGAAUGAAAAUGCAGAUACUGUGCUAAUGCUGGCAGUUUCAAUUCUGCAUCUGUUGCCAUCUCCGUAUUGGAGAUGAACUCCAAUAAAUUGUACCAAUUCAUAAUUUUAAAACAGUCUCAUGGGUAUCUUUUUAUUGUGCAUUUUAGUAUGCAUCUGCAGUGACACAGUUCUGCGCUUCCCUUUACAUAGCAAAUGCAGCAGACAAUUUUCACUGUAAUUGUCAUGUUGUACCAUGAGUGCUGCAUCAGGAUUUAAGAAAAGGCUGUUAAGAGUAUCCCUCAUGAUAGUUUUCAGCUAAUGUAUACUUUGAUUCUGAAAGUUCAGGCAGGAUGUGUAACAAGGCAGAGACUUAUUUUAUUUGUUUUGCACAAAUUCAUAGGAAAAACCCUGACAAAUAUCUUAAAAGGUCAGUUCUUCUACUCAUCUCAAUGACAGAGAGGAUAUAUAGAAGAUUCCAUGCAAAUGAACACAUGGAUAAAAUUCUAUAUAAUAUAAUUUAUAAUAAACUCUCUGAUGAUAAUUUUCACAGAAGGAUCAAGAUGUGCAAGAAAUAAUAUUUAAGAGGAAAUAUUAAUGUUAAGUAAAACAAGGUCUUUUGUACAGUUUUAAAAACUACUAUUUUCCUUGGUCUAAAGCUCUUCUUGCUAGCUUUGAUUAUAUUUUAUGAGAAAGAGUCCGUCUUUUUCAGUAUUACAUGAUUCAGUAUUUUCAAUGUGAAGUAUUUAACAAAAAAUACAAAUUUUUAAGUAUAGAGAGAGUUUUGAGGUCUUAUAUUGUUUUAAUUGGGUGGUGUUGAAUAAGAACCCAAUAUAAAAUAAAUUACUGGAAGCUUUCUUCUAUGUGUAUAUAUUUAUUUAUGAAGAACACAUUUAAGUUUACACCAGCGUAAAAUAUAAUCCUAAAGUCAUUUAGGAUAAUUGUCAGUGGAUCUUUCAGAUUUUAAAUGUUGAUGAAUAUGAACCCAUCCAUAUACAUGCCUUAAAGAAAUAUGCCAUAUUGGAUACCACAAAAUUGACCUGUCUAUUAUAAAGAAUAUACUUCAUUCUAUAUUAAUAUUCAUAAUUAUUCAUGUCACAUCAGAGUUUAUGAUGGAAUUAAGUGAUAUUUAUGUAUUUAUUGCUGUGCUAUUUCAUUAUACAUCAUUGAGUUUUAUGACAUUUCUAAGCAAAUUAAUUAUACAUGUUCUCCCUGUUCCCCAGUCUGAACACUUAUAACCAGGGGCCAUUUGAAUAAAUAUCUGUAUAUAUCCUGAACUGGAAAGUUGGAUUUGAGAUACUUUUGCAUAAUUUUGUAAUUCCAUUAAAAUAUCAACAAAAAAAUGAGGGAAGAACUUCUGAAAUAAAAAGAAGUAGGAACAGAUUUAAUCAUGUUGCAUUAUACAUAAACUAGUAUUGAAUUUAUGUAUCUUGAAUUUAUGUUCCAUAUGAUAAUGAAACAGAACAUCUUAAAGUAUUCGUUCUGACCAGUGUUAAAUGUUGUGUUAAACACAGUUAUGAAAUAUUUACUUAAACCACUAUUUUUUGAUACCAAAAUAUGACAUGUUUGUAAUAUGUGAGUUACCACCACAUAGUAUUUUUAAAUAAUACUCAUGUAGGAAUUAAUUUAUCCUUAAAAUAAUUAUAGCUCAUAUUAAAGUGAUUCUGUGAUAAGUGACAUUAUACAAUAAAAAUCAUAUUAAGAAUAAUUAGAUGGGUGUUGCAAUGAAAAAUGAAUGUUACUUUUUAAUCCUUCCCUGCAUUUGACUAACUUAUAAGGGGAAACAUUUCAGUAGUAAUGAGAGUAUUGCAGUAACAGUAAUAAGGAUGUAUAAUAGUUGGAAAAAGUAACAACUAUAAAGAGGAUAUGCUGGUGCACAAAUGUAUGAACAUUUGACGUAGCAUGAGCAUCAAAGACAACACUGAGCAUCUCUUCUUCUCUCAAAACUGAUUUUAAUAGAUAAAAAUGUAACAGAAUGGUUAUAUUAAACCAAUGGUUAUAUUAUUAACAAGGGUCAUAUUAAAUACCACCUGACAGUUUAUUGCACGCCUGGGUUGUUUGCAAAAAAAAAUAGUAUUUAAUGAAAAGAAAUAUUUGGUUUCAUAUUUGCUGAACAGCUUAAUAUUCUAUAAAGGCUUCUGCUCAGCCACUUUCAAGUUUCUAGAACAGUCUUUCUAUGAAAAUAAAUCAGAAAAAUUGUGACCAGCUUUCAGCAAGGAGUUGACCCUCCAUGGCUGUUAGCACUUCUGUGUGGAAUGUUGGUAAAUAGGAUGAGCUAUAAGGAUCUGAACAAGUACUUCCUUUCUACUAUAAUAUUUGGUGUGGAAAAUUACAACUGUCUCCAAUUUUAAAAAUGACAUCUUGUUUUUCUUGUUUUUCUUGUUUUUGUUGUUAGCAUUGUGCAAGUUUUUUAAGAGAGAAAAAAUAGGGUGAGAUUGUGGGAAUAGAGGGAUUGAUUUUAUUUAUCAUAUAAAUGUAUACAAUUGUGCUUGUCUGUGUACUGCUUUUAUUCCUAGCAUUAAAAAAACAGAUGGAGAUGGUGCUAGAAAUAAUAAGUUUCCAUUAAUAAUUAAUCACAUAAAGGUAGGUUCAAAAUUGCAUACUUUCAUUUAAAAACAAAAAUGGAAAAAAUUCUAUACUGCCAGUAAAAUUUCUUCUAUAUUUUCAAUACUGUUGAAGUCUGUUACAUGCCCAGAUAGUAACAGUGGACUAAAUAUAUGAAAUGUCCUCUUCUGGGGAGUAUAACAGAUAUAAAUAUAUUGCAUUAAACUGAUAUUGAUACUAAUUUGCACUAUCAGCCACUAGUACUUACAUGAGCACAAACACAGUCCUGGCUGUGAAGUUCUACAUCAAGAGCUACAUCUCCUCUACACCAAGAUAAUUUCCUAGAUGUGAGAUCAGACUAAGUGCUGGGUUUCGUGUUUUACUUCUGUUUUGUCACAGAAAUCUGACAGAGGAAAUGUAAGUGUUGAAGGGUAAGGUUAAAAAGUAACAUUAUUCACAACACUCAAAAUGAAUCUCUGCACAAUGACUUGGUAACCAUGGACACAAAAAUCUCAUCUGAAUGUUAUCUGGAAGAUGAAAGAUUACAUCUAGGAAAUUUUUCAAUGUGUUAUUUGUUCAUGGGGAGCUAAAGAUGGAUCUCCUCAAAAUUUGGGUUUGAUAUGAUGCCUUAAGUUUUAGCUUUCAUAUUUUCCAGAUUCUGUACUGCAUCAGUACGUGACUCUGAACUUCAUAUAAAGUGUUUACGAGUUCUCUUCACAGUUUAGUUAGACAAAACAAUCCUUUUCCAGCCUGAGAACUAAGGACACUGUUGCAGCUUCAGGCCUAAAAGGUAGAAACAGCAGCAAAUUGAGGAGAGCAAUCUGGGAGGAUGGGACUUCAUAACCUGAAUCUGUAAUUGGACAAUGAACCCCAAUAUGUAAAUGGACCAAAACUUAUAAAAGUGUGAAAUCUCAUGACUUGGUGUCCAUCUUGGGUGGAGGCACGGCUGGACUCUUGUACUGCCCAAGGUGUAUCCUUUGAAGUCUUUUUAAUAAAUACCUACUUUAUUCCUUAACACUGUCUAGCCUCUGUUCUAGGUAGCCUCUCAAGGCAUCGGAUAAAUAGAAGACUGAGUGUCACAGCAAUUACAUGCAUAACUAGAUGUGACAACAUCCAUGCCUUCAUUGAUGUAAACUGCUGCUUUAGUAAUUUUGCAGUACUAAGGAGAGUGAAUUGGUCACAGUCUGCCAAGCGCAAGGUCUCAGCAUAGGCUGCCCAACAUUGCACUGCUGCACCCGUCAUGCCUUCAUCACUCUGGACACAGUGUCCUACUGUGAAAGAACCCAAUUCCCAAGAUCUCCAGAACCUCACCCUUCUCUUUCAGAGAAACAAUGGCUCCAAACUUUUCUAAGCCUAAAUUGCCCACAGGAUCCUGUCCCAGAUAGGAAGAAAAACUUAUGCUUAAAACAACUCAGGAUUUAGAAGAUGCAAGUUUAAAAGGGAAAAAAAUACUUCGUAAAAAUCAAAUUCCAAUACCAUCUGCUCUUGAAGUGCUCUGAGACUAGAGGAGUCAAGCAGUGCUGGCAAUCAAAGUCUAUCCUGCAAGUGACUACAUCAACACUGCGAAUAGAGCAGAGUGCUGAAGCAACAGUCAGAAGCAAGUGCAGGCCCUAAAGAAAGAGAAAUGUCAUCCUAAUCCACCUAAAGAAGAAAGAAAAACAACCAUUAUUUCAGCUGAAUACUUUGUGUUAGAAUACCAGAAAAGAGAUAAAAUAACUUAUAACAAAGGGGAAAUACAAAACAAACAAAACAAUAAAGAAGUGAAAUACUAAAUAAGGCAUAUGGAAGACAAAUGGAGAUUAAACUAGUUUGGUUGAUUCCUGGUGUGCUAUCCUGAAAACUGAAAGAAAUAGGAUAAUGAAGAGAGAUGUGGUAAUCUCAGAAGUAAUUUCUUGAAAAGAGAUAUUAAUGUUACAAAAUGCCUCCUUCAUCAUUUCACUACUGAGCCAAGCAAUAAAGUUUCACCUUUCUGCUGAUUGGAUCAAUGCUACAGAUCAGCUGUGGAGAAAACAGGCUGCAUGGAAGGAGAAAGAAUCAGUCUCUGUGGCAUCUGAAGCUUUUUCCCUUGUUCUGUUAGUGCAAUACUAAUGUUAGGAUGAGAAUACUGAAGGCCCUAAGGACAACAUGGACAUUAUGGGAAGGAUAAAUCCUCCUCAUAGAUCCUCUUCCCAGGGCACAGAGCAGCCAUCUGGACAGUUGCUGUGUUAGUCUUUAUUCAGAGAUGCUGUAUGUACCUCAGGCUCUGUAUAACCAUGAGGGUUUACUGAUUACAGAACAUUUUCUGAUAUUAAAUACUGUACUUAGAGUGACAUAGCAAUUAAUGACAAACACAACUGAGAAUAUGGAUUCCAUUGGGCAUGGGAAGCCAUGGUUUUCAAAUCAGUUGCCGAUUCUGUAAUCGCUGACUUGAAAGUCCAGCUGUGAUAUGCAACUGUAGAGCACUAUAAUCAUUUGAAAGCUAUUUGAACACACGGACCAUGAAAAAUAAAUGCUAAUGAGCUAUUCAUCUCAUCAAUACAUUUUGUUGUCCUUUUCACUGACAGCUAUCACCAGGAUUGCUAUGGUAUGUCUUUCAGAAUAGUAAAUACUGUUUUAUUUGCUAUGUGGGUCAGAGAGAAAGAGCCCCAUAAAUAAAAAGCUUGUACUUGACACAGAAGGGUCGUUAAGCAUUGUGGUAUCUCCUUUGCAGUGUGAAAGAUAAAAUGAUUCCAUUUUAUUGGGGAAAUAAUUGAAUUUGGUAAAAAGAAUCAUCUCCACUUUCAAAAUUAUUUACUCUCAAUUUUCUGAAACAAUGCAUUCCUGUAGGAACUAAAAAGAAACUUGACCAAAUUUCCUUAUUUUUCAGAUAACCGUAACAAGCAAAACACAGUGAUGCCUGGAAUGAUCAAGUCUAUCUACAUAUACAUAGGAAAAAAAGAAUGUUUUGAGUGGGUAUUUUAAGUACCUUUAGGUGAUUGAUUUGAGUAGAAGUGAUUAUUUAAACAACCUUAGACAGCUGGCUGAACAUACUUCCUGAUUUCUCCUGGAAAACUUGGCAUCUGAGUCAGAAAGAAAAUAGCCAUGGGAGAUGAGGUAUAACAAAGAAAAACUUUAUCUUCUUUGCCCACCCUUCUUUCCUGACUCUGGUAAGUAGGCUGGUUUCAGUGAAUGAUCUCUGUUCACCCCACUGCAGUGAGGGGUGAAUCUGGUGUGCACUUUGAAUAACAUGAGAUAGUGAAUGCUCCCCAGAAAAGUGCUCCCUUUACUUUUAAGUUGAUGGAAAAUGAUCACAAAUGAGAGCUGAGAACAACUUCAUUUUAGUAUUACCUAAACAAUGAAAAAUUGUCAUUCUUUACUCAAUGGUAUCAUGUUCCUGUGAAUUUCUAAGAAAAUUAGAAAGAAAGCAUAGUAGGUAAUCUUUGAGUUUAUGACUGCAUUUGAAAUAUCAGUGACGAGUCCUUUAUUUCUACAAAAAGCUGUUAAAAUAUUCCCUCAAUGCAUUUUUUUUGACAUUUGGAAAAUGGUGGGAGUAGUUAUUCUUUACUAUUAUUUCAAAUGUAUUGUUCAGUACGUACAAUUGUCAUCUUACAUCUAUCGAAAUAGAGUGGAAUCUUAUAUCAACUGCCUUCUGCUAAUUUUUUUUUGUUUGCUGGAAGAGUUCAGUUUUUAAGGCUAAAUUGGGAAAUCAAACCAAUAUUUUCCUUCAUAUAUUAGCCUUAUAUUUAUUUUCACUAUUAAUAAUGUGUCUAUUAUACAUAUUUUCUUUUGGAAUUAUACUUUAAAAUUGGGGUACUGUAAUUUAGAAUAAUGUAGAAAGUACUUUGGUGCAUUCUCACUGAAAGAGAUAAGGCUGAUAAUAAUAAUAAUGUUUUUUGAAAGGCAUUGUUAAGGAAGAAGUAUCAGUUCCCCUUAUAUAAUUCAAAGUUUUCCACAGCUCUGUUUUGAACAGUUGUGAACUUUACUUCUGAACUUUCAAACUUCGAGCUGGACACCUUCCAGCAACAUAGGUAACACUGAAGUUUUCCAUAGACUGAUUUUGCCUGUAAUGGAGUUAUUUUUCUUCAUGGCAGCCUGUAUGGUGGUGUGUUUUUGAAUUUGUGAUUGAAACAGGGUUGAUAACAAACCAAUUUUGGGGCUGUUGAUGAGCAGUGCUUGCACAGCAUCAAGGCAUUUUCUCUUUCCUGCUCUAUCUCC
Long non-coding RNA from Passer domesticus (house sparrow), 11908 nucleotides. RefSeq lists it as uncharacterized. NCBI's taxonomy places the organism in Eukaryota, Metazoa, Chordata, Aves, Passeriformes, Passeridae. The record is from RefSeq and is a predicted model, not a curated record. The transcript has 19 exons.